CUCGGGUGGGGGGAGUCCCUCAGCCAGGAUUGCAAGAGGGCACAGGCCAGGCCAAGGGACCUCACUAGUGCACA
This 74-nucleotide microRNA precursor is filed under the name Myotis lucifugus (little brown bat). RNAcentral's name for it is "mir-9193 microRNA precursor family". It matches the Rfam family "mir-9193 microRNA precursor family". Lineage: Eukaryota; Metazoa; Chordata; Mammalia; Chiroptera; Vespertilionidae. The record is from Rfam by way of RNAcentral.